Molecule: long non-coding RNA, 516 nt
Organism: Sapajus apella (tufted capuchin)
Lineage: Eukaryota; Metazoa; Chordata; Mammalia; Primates; Cebidae
Exons: 3
Source: RefSeq, a predicted model, not a curated record
CAUUUGUUUUGAAUUGAGAUUUAUUCCUAAAGUUUAGUAAUUUUACAAGUUACAAAAACAACUUACAGUAAAUCUGUUUGUAAAAAAGAUCAACCCUGGGUGAUGUAUCCUUCAAUUUUUAAGAAUUCUAACUCUGACUCUGAUGUUUAGUACAGGGCUUUUUGGUGGAACAAGUCUAUGCUUGCAUAAGUCAAACAGUUUUUUCCCAAGCAGCUCCCAAGGGUGUGAUGCGUUUCUUCGCCACAAGAUGACAUUGAUUUCUCCAUCAGUAUUGAAGAAAUACGGUAUUCCCUUUGACAAGAUAACUCAGGAGGCUGGAUAAUUCAUGCACACUUUCCCAUAUGGCUACUAUGCUGGCUUUAAUCAUGGUUUCAACUGUGCAGAAUCUACGAAUUUUGUUAUUGUCAGAUGGAUCGACUAUGGAAAAGGUGCCAAAUUGGUAAGCUAUGCCUCAGAAAUAAAGCAUAAAUUAAAUGGGCAUUCUGGUUUUUGUAGUAGGAACCCUAAGAUUCUGUG